RNAcentral lists this ribosomal RNA (492 nucleotides) under uncultured bacterium. RNAcentral's name for it is "partial 16S ribosomal RNA". It matches the Rfam family "Bacterial small subunit ribosomal RNA", at positions 29 to 507 of the family's 1533-position model. The record is from RNAcentral.
AGUGAACGCUGGCGGUAGGCCUAACACAUGCAAGUCGAACGGCAGCACAGUAAGAGCUUGCUCUUACGGGUGGCGAGUGGCGGACGGGUGAGGAAUACAUCGGAAUCUACUUUUUCGUGGGGGAUAACGUAGGGAAACUUACGCUAAUACCGCAUACGACCUACGGGUGAAAGCAGGGGAUCUUCGGACCUUGCGCGAUUGAAUGAGCCGAUGUCGGAUUAGCUAGUUGGCGGGGUAAAGGCCCACCAAGGCGACGAUCCGUAGCUGGUCUGAGAGGAUGAUCCGCCACACUGGAACUGAGACACGGUCCAGACUCCUACGGGAGGCAGCAGUGGGGAAUAUUGGACAAUGGGCGCAAGCCUGAUCCAGCCAUACCGCGUAGGUGAAGAAGGCCUUCGGGUUGUAAAGCCCUUUUGUUGGGAAAGAAAAGCAGCAGGUUAAUACCCCGCUGUUCUGACGGUACCCAAAGAAUAAGCACCGGCUAACUUCGUG